Long non-coding RNA from Ailuropoda melanoleuca (giant panda), 2625 nucleotides. RefSeq lists it as uncharacterized. The transcript is spliced from 5 exons. Lineage: Eukaryota; Metazoa; Chordata; Mammalia; Carnivora; Ursidae. The record is from RefSeq and is a predicted model, not a curated record.
UCAGUGAGAUCUAAUAAAAUUUAUAGAUAUUGAAAUAUAAAAUUUUGGGUUUUACGUUUAAGAUGGUUGUGUUGAUUAUUUGGGCCAUGAGGACUGUCUGAGAUUCUGACCACCUGAUUUGAAUUUCUGUUAAUUGAACAAUGGGAUGAAAAUGGUCAAACAAAUGGCCCAGAAGUCCUUGUAAUUGCCCAGAAUCCAACAAUUCAUGUUUUCAUAAAACCAUACACAUUCAUACACUUAGGCACAGACAUUCGGCAUGAUACCUUGAGAGGGCUGUGUGGUCACACGUGGCCUUUCUUCUCUCCUCUGCCACUGACAAUUGACUGUGGGCAACUUUCUUCAUCUCUUGGAACAUGAGUUUUCCUAUUUGCAAAAUAGGAAAAUAUCUCCCGUGCAGGGGAUUUGCUAACAUUCAACGAAACAACAUAUUUAAAGAGCCUGAUACACAUUUCGUUACACAGGGCCUAGGCCGAUGACCUUGGCAGUGACGAUGAUGAAUGGAGCAAGGAUCCCAAGUGACAUAAAUUCCUGCGGACUUCACAAUCCCAAGCAUGGGGCUAGACAUGAACAGAAUGGUAUGGAAGAGACCAGCUUUUGCUGUUGGAGGGACUGGUUUUUACACAGGACUCGAGCUUCAGACAGACGUGGGUAUCAAUGUCCCCCAAGGCUCAUUCCCUCCUCUAGCUACUGGAUACCAGAAGACCCUCAGGACAGAGGUCCCCUCUACCAUGCACCUGCUGACCCAACAUGCACUUGCAACACCGUGCUCCUGCAGAGCCAAGCAUACAAAUGGAGGCAUCUGGUAGCCUCUGCCUGGGAUGAUUUAAGUUCAGUGGAGAGGCUCCCUUGCAGAAUUCUCUCCCGGCCCACCUGAGCCCAGCUACCUGAGACUCCACCACUAGCGAAUCAUGGCUCUGCAUUAAGCACUGCCUUCUGGAAAACAUCUUCAGAGAGGAACAGGCGUGCACGGACGUGACGCAUGAAUACAAACAAUGGCCCUUAAAUGUUGUUCACCUUCAGAAAGCCGUUGGUGUGUUCGCCCCGUGAUUUGCGAUUUGAGAGUUGGGUUUCGGUCCCUAUAGAUGAUUGUUCAUCACCAUUUCAGCAGCCAGAAGGCUGUGACUCUGAGCCAAUUCAUUUUAGGAGGCGCUGGGCCCCUGUGACAGUGAUACCUCUACUCUAAUCAACGGCAGGAGUCUCAAAGAAGGGGAGAGCUGCGCUCCGUGCUGACUGAGCUCAAGAGAUCUAGACACCAUCCGCCUUUUUACUUAACCACCUGGCAUUGCUGGUGUCAGGUGGGGCCGUUUUCAAAAAUGCCACCAGAAGACUAGAAUCUUAAUAGACUCCGAUUUCAAUAUCAUCUCUAAAGUUUUGCUGUGUGUCAUCUCUCCACUAAAUUAAAUAUUCUGGGACUCACUGGAGACUUUGCAGAUAGAAAUGCGAGUUUAAUAAAAAGCAUGGGGGACAUGUGAACGUCUGGGCUCUGGCCUGAGACUUCACACUGAGACUUCAACCCAAACCCAGCAUCAUAAAGAGGGCCAGCCAGGGUCACCCCACCAAACAUGGACAUUUGUCAAUGGACUCCAGCUGCCAAGAUUUCUGGAAGAAUUACAGUCACUUCCACAACCCAGUUCCUCAUGAAAAGACGGCAUCUCUCUAGUAAGUGAGACGAAAAACAAGUCUCCGGGAGACUUUAAAUGUAAGCAACGGUCACGGAGUGCAAGACAAGGAGGGAGGGAUCCAGGUAGAGUGGUUCUUGGAGAAGUCGUUUAUGACAUGCAUUGUUUGAAAAUGCAGUGAAGUCUGCAAUCAUGUGGCCUGAGAAACGAAACCUCUUUAAAACCCAAAACAAAGCCAUUCAGCCCCUAGUCUCAACUCUCUAUCCCGAGGACCAUCCGCAGAAAUCCUUGCUGGCUAAUCGGCCUGCUUGAACGCUAUAAACCACUGUUUUCAAACACCCUUUGCCGUGCUCCAAACUGCUCUAUAAAUCUCACUGCCCCUUUCCCCGGGGUCCAGUGGAGAGAAAAAGCACCACAGUUGGCCUUUCUAGGUCCAGUCUAAACUGAGGCCCAAUCAGAGGCUCCAGGAGACACCUCAGAGCUGAAACAGCGGAUUCCAGCUCCCUCCCUGGUAAGUCUGCAUGGCUGGGACGUUUGGGCUUUGCUGUCAAACACGGAUGAAGCCGAAGGGCAGGCAAGAGGAGAGAUUCGCCGCCGGGAAGCUUCUGCAUGAGCGGUCCGUCAGCCUCUGCCCAGCCAGUUGGGCAGGCUUUCCUAGUCUGAUGCGCGGGGGGGGGGAUGGACAGCAGCCCCCCGAAGCUGAUGUGCUCCGUGGUCUUGCCACCCCGUGCUUCUGCUAAUGGGAGCCUGUGUAACUCUUGAACUGAAAAGGCCUCAUCUAGCCUUGUGUUUCAAGAGCCACACCUGAAAACUCUUAGAGGUAACGAAAACUUGCAUUCUUCAAGGCUAUUCUGAAAGAGAUGAUUUAACUCAUGCUCCCUCUAAGACUGCACAGAAUUGUUCAGCUCUCUGCACCAGAUGCCUCAAAAAUCCAAACUGGAGCUAAUUUAGACACUUUACUUAAGCUGAUUAUGGUGAUGUAAUGGCCUGAUAUUUUCCCUUAUAA